AUGGUAUAUCUGGCCCAUCCAUCUACAUGCCAUCUACUUUCUUUCUUCUCAAGCGGGAUUGGCUUCAACCUCCUGUUUGGGCCGCGGUGCCGCCAAAGGUAUGCUUCUCUUUAUCCCGAUUCUAAUUCUCUGCGUUCUCCAUCUACAUAUGCAUGUGAUUGCCUACUCUGUUUCUGCCCAAACAACAUAUAUGUACGUAUGUUGGUGGAAGUAGAGAUUAAGAGUGAGAUAAAGAAUGAGAGAGACAAAAUGCUAGGGAGAAAGAUAGCUAGACAACUGAUAAGUAUAUGUUCUCAACUGUAUAUUUUGGUUAUUAUUUACAAGCUGAACUUCCAUUAUUCCAACUGGGUGGCAUGUCACAUUUAUUGA
RNAcentral lists this ribosomal RNA (369 nucleotides) under Triticum aestivum (bread wheat). RNAcentral describes it as "partial small subunit ribosomal RNA". Lineage: Eukaryota; Viridiplantae; Streptophyta; Magnoliopsida; Poales; Poaceae. The record is from RNAcentral.